This 71-nucleotide transfer RNA is filed under the name Phrynosoma platyrhinos (Desert horned lizard). RNAcentral describes it as "tRNA-OTHER". Lineage: Eukaryota; Metazoa; Chordata; Lepidosauria; Squamata; Phrynosomatidae. The record is from RNAcentral.
GCCAGUGUGGUGUAGUGUUAGAGUGUUGGACUAUGACUCUGGAGACCAGGGUUUGAUUCCCAGUGCAGCCU